UAACACGUGAGUAACCUGCCCUUAACUCUGGGAUAAGCCUGGGAAACUGGGUCUAAUACUGGAUAUUGACUUUUCACCGCAUGGUGGUUGGUUGAAAGCUUUAGUGGUUUUGGAUGGACUCGCGGCCUAUCAGCUUGUUGGUGAGGUAAUGGCUUACCAAGGCGACGACGGGUAGCCGGCCUGAGAGGGUGACCGGCCACACUGGGACUGAGACACGGCCCAGACUCCUACGGGAGGCAGCAGUGGGGAAUAUUGCACAAUGGGCGAAAGCCUGAUGCAGCGACGCCGCGUGAGGGAUGACGGCCUUCGGGUUGUAAACCUCUUUCAGUAGGGAACAAGGCUACACGUUGUGUGGUUGAGGGUACUUGCAGAAGAAGCACCGGCUAACUACGUGCCAGCAGCCGCGGUAAUACGUAGGGUGCAAGCGUUAUCCGGAAUUAUUGGGCGUAAAGAGCUCGUAGGCGGUUUGUCGCGUCUGCCGUGAAAGUCCGGGGCUCAACUCCGGAUCUGCGGUGGGUACGGGCAGACUAGAGUGAUGUAGGGGAGACUGGAAUUCCUGGUGUAGCGGUGAAAUGCGCAGAUAUCAGGAGGAACACCGAUGGCGAAGGCAGGUCUCUGGGCAUUAACUGACGCUGAGGAGCGAAAGCAUGGGGAGCGAACAGGAUUAGAUACCCUGGUAGUCCAUGCCGUAAACGUUGGGCACUAGGUGUGGGGGACAUUCCACGUUUUCCGCGCCGUAGCUAACGCAUUAAGUGCCCCGCCUGGGGGAGUACGGGCCGCAAGGCUAAAACUCAAAGGAAUUUGACGGGGGGCCCGCACAAGCGGGCGGAGCAUGCCGGAUUAAUUUCGAUGCAACGCCAAAGAACCUUUACCAAAGGCUUUGACAUGGAACUGGGAAACGCUUAAGAAAUAAAUUGCCCCGCU
RNAcentral lists this ribosomal RNA (924 nucleotides) under Arthrobacter sp. LS27-MRL. Its description in RNAcentral is "bacterial SSU rRNA". It matches the Rfam family "Bacterial small subunit ribosomal RNA", at positions 111 to 1020 of the family's 1533-position model. The record is from RNAcentral. Lineage: Bacteria; Bacillati; Actinomycetota; Actinomycetes; Micrococcales; Micrococcaceae.